ACUCYUACGGGAGKCAGCAGUGGGGAAUCUUGCGCAAUGCGCGAAMGCGUGACGCAGCAACGCCGCGUGGGGGAAGAAGGCCUUCGGGUUGUAAACCCCUUUCAGUUGGGACGAMSCUUCCACGGUGAAUAGCYGUGUGGAGUGACGGUACCUUCACAAGAAGCCCSGGCUAACUACGUGCCAGCAGCCGCGGUAAUACGUAGGGGGCUAGCGUUGUCCGGAAUCAUUGGGCGUAAAGCGCGUGUAGGCGGCCCGGUAAGUCCGCUGYGAAAGUCGGGGGCUCAACCYUCGGAUGCCGGUGGAUMCUKUCGGGCUAGAGUGCGGAAGAGGCGAGUGGAAUUCCUGGUGUAGCGGUGAAAUGCGCAGAUAUCAGGAGGAACACCAAUUGCGAAGGCAGCUCGCUGGGACGUGACUGACGCUGAGACGCGAAAGCGUGGGGAGCAAACAGGAUUAGAUACCCUGGUAGUCCACGCUGUAAACGAUGGGCACUAGGUGUGGGGGGUGUCGACUCCCUCCGUGCCGAAGCUAACGCAUUAAGUGCCCCSCYUGGGGRGUACGGCCGCAAGGCUAAAACUCAAAUGAAWWGACGGWKGKURG
RNAcentral lists this ribosomal RNA (597 nucleotides) under uncultured Solirubrobacteraceae bacterium. RNAcentral describes it as "partial 16S ribosomal RNA". It matches the Rfam family "Bacterial small subunit ribosomal RNA", at positions 335 to 923 of the family's 1533-position model. Lineage: Bacteria; Bacillati; Actinomycetota; Thermoleophilia; Solirubrobacterales; Solirubrobacteraceae. The record is from RNAcentral.